Molecule: ribosomal RNA, 440 nt
Filed under: uncultured bacterium
Lineage: Bacteria
Description: partial 16S ribosomal RNA
Rfam family: Bacterial small subunit ribosomal RNA
Source: RNAcentral
CCUACGGGUGGCAGCAGUGGGGGAUAUUGCACAAUGGGGGGAACCCUGAUGCAGCGACGCCGCGUGGGUGAAGAAGUGCUUCGUUGUGUAAAGCUCUAUCAGCAGGGAAGAAAAUGACGGUACCUGAGUAAGAAGCCCCGGCUAACUACGGUCCAGCAGCCGCGGUAAUACGUAGGGGGCAAGCGUUAUCCGGAUUUACUGGGUGUAAAGGGGGCGUAGACGGCAGUGCAAGUCUGGAGUGAAAGGCCGGGGCUCAACCCCCGGACUGCUCUUGAAACUGUAUGGCUGGAGUGCAGGAGAGGGAAGCGGAAUGCCUGGUGUAGCGGUGAAAUGCGUAGAGAUCAGGAGGAACACCAGUGGCGAAGGCGGCUUACUGGACUGGAACUGACGUUGAGGCCCGAAAGCGUGGGGAGCAAACAGGAUUAGAUACCCGAGUAGUC